AUGAGCCACAGACUGACACGUUUGGUGACACGCGGAAAGAGAGGCAGAAAGGUGCCCAUACUUCUUCUUGAGCGCACAAAAGCUUCGCUUGACUUCCUGGUUGAAAAACGGAGGGAAGUUGGCAUACUUGAGGAGAACCCCUUUCUGUUUGCCAGGCUUAGCACAACAACCAAUCUCCGUGGGUGUGACUGCCUCAGAAGAUAUGCAGAAGAGAGCAAGGCCAAAAACCCAGAACUGCUGAGAUCAACAAGGUUGAGGAAACAUGUUGCUACCUUAUGUCAGCUUCUCGACCUCAGCAAUCAGGAACUUGAGCAAGUUGCUCGUUUUAUGGGACAUGAUAUCCGAGUCCACUGCGAGUAUUAUCGACAGACAGAUAAAACAUUCCAAGUGGCCAAGAUUGGCAAACUUCUGUUUGCGAUGGAGCAUGGAGCAGAGUCACUGAAAGGGAAGAGUCUGCAAACACUGGACUCCGUUAUCAGUGGCAAAAGACACUCAGCCACCCCAACUAAAGAUCUGAAAGGUGUCAAAAAGAGAAGGACGUCAGAUGCAGCAAUUCAACAAGAAGCUCAUGAAGAUGGACAGCAGCUGUCCACCACAAGCUCAUCAGCUCAAAGGAAAAAGAAGACUGUCACAACACAAAGACAAGAUGAUGAUGACUCCGCAGGAUGGUCACUUGGGAAGAGACAAUGUCAAACUUGA
Long non-coding RNA from Cyprinus carpio carpio, 699 nucleotides. Lineage: Eukaryota; Metazoa; Chordata; Actinopteri; Cypriniformes; Cyprinidae. The record is from Ensembl.